Molecule: ribosomal RNA, 1498 nt
Filed under: uncultured Bordetella sp.
Lineage: Bacteria; Pseudomonadati; Pseudomonadota; Betaproteobacteria; Burkholderiales; Alcaligenaceae
Description: partial 16S-23S ribosomal RNA intergenic spacer
Rfam family: Bacterial small subunit ribosomal RNA
Source: RNAcentral
GGUUCGAUUCUGGCUCAGAUUGAACGCUGGCGGGAUGUUUUACAUGCAAGUCGAACAACAGCACGGACUUCCGGUCUGGUGGCGAGUGGCGAACGGGUGAAGUAAUGUAUCGGAACGUGCCCUGAGCGGGGGAUAACUACGCGAAAGCGUAGCUAAUACCGCAUACGCCCUUCGGGGAAAGCAGGGGGACCUUCGGGCCUCGCACUAUUAGAGCGGCCGAUAUCGGAUUAGCUAGUUGGUGGGGUAACGGCUCACCAAGGCAGCGAUCCGUAGCUGGUUUGAGAGGACGACCAGCCACACUGGGACUGAGACACGGCCCAGACUCCUACGGGAGGCAGCAGUGAAAUUUUGGACAAUGGGGAAACCUGAUCAGCCAUCCCGCGUGUGCGAUGAAGGCCUUCGGGUUAUCAAAGCACUUUUGGCAGGAAAGAAACGGCACGGGAUAAUACCCCGUGCAACUGACGGUACCUGCAGAAUAAGCACCGGCUAACUACGUGCCAGCAGCCGCGGUAAUACGUAGGGUGCAGCGUUAAUCGGAAUUACUGGGCGUAAAGCGUGCGCGAGCGGUUCAGAGAAGAAAGUCUGAAAUCCCAGAGCUUAACUUUGGAACUGCAUUUUUAACUACCGAGCUAGAGUGUGUCAGAGGGAGGUGGGAAUUCCCGCGUGUAGCAGUGAAAUGCGUAGAUAUGCAGGAGGAACACCGAUGGCGAAGGCAGCCUCCUGGGAUAACACUGACGCUCAUGCACACGAAAAGCGUGGGGCAAACGGGAUUAGAUACCUGGUAGUCCACGCCCUAAACGAUGUCAACUAUUCGUCGGGGCCUUCGGGCCUUGGUAGCGCAACUAACGCGUGAAGUUGACCGCCUGGGAAAUUACGGUCGCAAAGAUUAAACUCAAAGGAAUUGACGGGGACCGCACAAGCGGUGGAUGAUCAUGGGUUAAUUCAGUGCAACGCGAAAAAAACCUUACCUACCCUUGACAUGUCUGGAAUCCCGAAGAGAUUUGGGAGUGCUCGCAAAGAGAACCGGAACACAGGUGCUGCAUGGCUGUCGUCAGCUCGUGUCGUGAGAUGUUGGGUUAGAUCCGCAACGAGCGCAACCCUUGUCGUGGGUUACACGAAAGGCGCUCUAUUAGAGCUGCCGGUGACAAACCCGGAGGAAGGUGGGGAUGACGUCAAGUCCUCAUGGCCCAUAUGGUGGGGCUUCUUGCGUCAUACAAUGAAUUCGAGACUGAAGGGUCGCCAACCCGCGAGAGAAGACCAAUCCCAAGAGCCGAUCGUCUGGUCCGGAUCGCAGUCUGCAACUCGACUGCUGGAAGUCGGAAUCGCUAGUAAUCGCGGAUCAGCAUGUCGCGGUGAAUACCGUUCCCGGGUCUUGUACACACACGCCGUCACACCAACUGCAGGGUGGGUUUUAUCAGAAGUAGUUAGCCUAACCGUAAGGGGAGGGCGAUUACCACGGUGACAAGUUCAUGACUGGGGUGAAGUCGUAACAAGGUAA